This is a long non-coding RNA of Lethenteron reissneri (Far Eastern brook lamprey), 413 nucleotides long. RefSeq lists it as uncharacterized. The record is from RefSeq and is a predicted model, not a curated record. Lineage: Eukaryota; Metazoa; Chordata; Hyperoartia; Petromyzontiformes; Petromyzontidae.
GAGGGAGAGCGGUGGGAGCUGUCCGUGCGGGUCUCCAUGAGGAGCGAGUGGAAGAGGAGGAUGGCGCAGAGUGACGUGCUGUACCAUCUACAAGCCGAGGUCUCCACAAGGAGGGGUGUGACUAGCACGGAGCGCUUUGUGGGAUGUCGCUACCGCCACGCGCUGCCUCAGCCUGCAGGCGCUGCUGAGUACUGCGUCCGCGUGAGAGUCGCGGCUCGCUACCCGCGGUGGAAGACAGGGGAGUGGUCUCCACUGUCGUGUGUCUCCGUCCCUCCACCACACAGCGCCGUGGCAGACGGACAGAAAAUAUGGCAUCUGUGCAGGACCGCCCUUUCCUGAAACCGCAUUGGGGCUCCGCAAGCCUCUCCUCAGCGUGCCUGGCAAGGCGGUGUUGAACAACAACACACAGACAG